UGGACCUAGCCGCUGCGUCGUUGCUGCUGCUGUACCGGGAUCGAUAUCGCGAUGCCGCUGCCCCGCGCACACCGCCGUCGCUGCCGGGAGGUGCUGCCUCCGGUCAGCCCCCGAUUCCGCCCCGAUUUCCUCCCCGAAGUUCACGGAAGAGGAAUAUCUACUCACGGAGGAGGAAAAUCUGCGUAGAAUAUUUAAUUAAAGAUAUUUUAUUUUAAUUAGUUUAGUUUAAUUCACAACCCAUUGUAUUUUAUAUUAAAUUGUGCAGUCCGCAACUUAUUUAUCACGGACUGGAUUUUUAUAACAUUUAUUUAAUUUAUCGGAUCCAACACAGAAUUGAGUCCAAUAGAUAUUCUUCACGGACAGGAAUUAAUUAAAUUCGCGCAGUCAUUUAUUUCACAAA
Salvia splendens (bonfire salvia) is the source of this 400-nucleotide long non-coding RNA. RefSeq lists it as uncharacterized. NCBI's taxonomy places the organism in Eukaryota, Viridiplantae, Streptophyta, Magnoliopsida, Lamiales, Lamiaceae. The record is from RefSeq and is a predicted model, not a curated record. The transcript is spliced from 2 exons.